This 253-nucleotide ribosomal RNA is filed under the name uncultured bacterium. RNAcentral's name for it is "partial 16S ribosomal RNA". It matches the Rfam family "Bacterial small subunit ribosomal RNA", at positions 524 to 776 of the family's 1533-position model. The record is from RNAcentral.
UACAGAGGUCUCAAGCGUUGUUCGGAUUCAUUGGGCGUAAAGGGCGCGUAGGCGGCGAAGUAAGUCGGGUGUGAAAUCUCAGAGCUCAACUCUGAAACUGCACUCGAUACUGCUCUGCUAGAGGACUGGAGAGGAGAUUGGAAUUCACGGUGUAGCAGUGAAAUGCGUAGAGAUCGUGAGGAAGACCAGUGGCGAAGGCGGAUCUCUGGACAGUUCCUGACGCUGAGGCGCGAAGGCCAGGGGAGCAAACGGG